Molecule: long non-coding RNA, 759 nt
Filed under: Dasypus novemcinctus (nine-banded armadillo)
Lineage: Eukaryota; Metazoa; Chordata; Mammalia; Cingulata; Dasypodidae
Description: lncRNA (ENSDNOG00000051737.1)
Source: RNAcentral
UCAUUCUGUUGAUGUCACUUACCCUCGGCAAAAUAUUUACACAUCCUUAAAAACGCCAGAUUUGGGGAGGGGGGGCAGGGCGGGCCGCAAGUCGCCCUUCCAGCCCCAUCGCCGAGAUCUGGGCAGACCGAUAGGAGGGCGGUACGGCGGCGGGUGGCUCCAGCGGGCACAGGGUGAAGAUAUUUGAGAGACCACAGAGAGCAGGAAUUACUCUCAUCAGGACAGAGAGCAGGAGGAAUCCAGCUGUCCUGCGCGUUUCAAACCCCCUCAGGCCGCGGGUCUACAUAGCACUAAAGAACUCAAGGACUCAUGGACAUCAGUUCUUGGAAAUACUGCCCACUCUGCCACAACCAUCCCCUCCCUGUGAUAAACACUCCUGAAAGUAAAAGACAACAGAAAACAAGAGGCAACGGAGCAUUGAAAAUGUGAGCAUGGGAUUCAUUCAUUCAAAGGGAAAAUCUGCAAAGCGGCUGGCGCAGUGGAAUGCUCAAUAAAUAGUAGCUGUUGUUUUUUGUCCCUAUACUUUUAACAUGGAAAAACCAUGUGUACAAAAUAAUGUAUUGUUUAUUCACUGCUGAAAGAAAAAUAAUGAAAAGCCUUUACGUACUCCCUGCCCAAUACCUUUGAAACCUCUACGUGUCUGCUUCCUGACAGUGUCCUAUAUCUUGCCCCAGAAAACCAUUAUGCUGUUUUCAUUUUACAUAUGCAUAUGUGUGUGUGUUUAGCUUUGUUCUUGAACUUAAAAUAAAUGGAGCACAC